UACGGAGGGUGCAAGCGUUGUCCGGAAUCACUGGGCGUAAAGGGCGCGUAGGCGGCUCAUGAAGGCUGUGGUGAAAGGCCGGGGCUCAACCUCGGAUCGGCCGUGGCGACUCGUGGGCUGGAGCACUGUAGAGGCGGGUGGAAUUCCGGGUGUAGCGGUGGAAUGCGUAGAGAUCCGGAAGAACACCAGUGGCGAAGGCGGCCCGCUGGGCAGUGGCUGACGCUGAGGCGCGACAGCGUGGGGAGCAAACAGG
This 253-nucleotide ribosomal RNA is filed under the name uncultured bacterium. RNAcentral's name for it is "partial 16S ribosomal RNA". It matches the Rfam family "Bacterial small subunit ribosomal RNA", at positions 524 to 776 of the family's 1533-position model. The record is from RNAcentral.